GACGUCUCUGAAGAAGAGCAGCUUGAAUGCUUGUUUUUCUGUUUUUCUGACAGAGUCGGCUCAGUACUUUACGGGGACGUCUCGGGAUGUUUGCGCUUUUUGCAUAGGGACGACUCCGCGACGUCGGGGACGACUCCGUAGCUUUAUCACCGAAAAACAAGUCCUCUGGAAUCCCCUGAGAGAGUCGACUCCGUGCUUUCUAGGGACGUCUCGGGAAGUUUGCUUUUUAUGCGUGGGGACGACUCCGCGUCCUUCGGAGACGACUCGCGCGCAUCCCUUGAGUUUGGUCUUUUUGCUGCCUCUGAGAGAGUCGACUCCGCAAAGUCGGGAGUCGACUCCGACCCUGCGAGACGCCUCGCCAGGUGACGGGGACGUCUCCAGACGUGCCAAUUCUUUCUGUUCGUGCCAGAGACGUCUCUGGGACAAACCGGAGACGUCUCGGCUGUCCCUGAUCUGUUUUCUUCAUCUCAAAAAUUCUUCAAUAAAUCCUUGAAAAAUAUGGGAACUUGCCUAGACAUUUCUUAACAAUAUUCUUAAUUAAACACCUGAAAUCCUCAAAUAAAUUGUUAAGAU
RNAcentral lists this long non-coding RNA (573 nucleotides) under Phoenix dactylifera (date palm). Its description in RNAcentral is "long non-coding RNA (PDAC_LNC020706)". The record is from RNAcentral. Lineage: Eukaryota; Viridiplantae; Streptophyta; Magnoliopsida; Arecales; Arecaceae.